GUGGGUGUCAUCAAAGCUGUGGA
Molecule: non-coding RNA, 23 nt
Filed under: Cricetulus griseus (Chinese hamster)
Lineage: Eukaryota; Metazoa; Chordata; Mammalia; Rodentia; Cricetidae
Source: RNAcentral